GACGAACGCUGGCGGCGUGCUUAACACAUGCAAGUCGUACGGUAAGGCCCUUUCGGGGGUACACGAGUGGCGAACGGGUGAGUAACACGUGAGUAACCUGCCCACAACUUUGGGAUAACGCUAGGAAACUGGUGCUAAUACUGGAUAUGUGCUCCUGCUGCAUGGUGGGGGUUGGAAAGCUCCGGCGGUUGUGGAUGGACUCGCGGCCUAUCAGCUUGUUGGUGGGGUAGUGGCCUACCAAGGCGGCGACGGGUAGCCGGCCUGAGAGGGUGACCGGCCACAUUGGGACUGAGAUACGGCCCAGACUCCUACGGGGGGCAGCAGGGGGGAAUUUUGCACAAUGGGCGCAAGCCUGAUGCAGCAACGCCGCGUGCGGGAUGACGGCCUUCGGGUUGUAAACCGCUUUCAGCAGGGACGAAGCUUUUUGUGACGGUACCUGCAGAAGAAGCACCGGCUAACUACGG
This 464-nucleotide ribosomal RNA is filed under the name uncultured bacterium. Its description in RNAcentral is "partial 16S ribosomal RNA". It matches the Rfam family "Bacterial small subunit ribosomal RNA", at positions 28 to 506 of the family's 1533-position model. The record is from RNAcentral.